UUAGAAAUAAUUUAAUAGUUACAUUUAUAAACAAUGUAGAUUAAAAAUUGUAAGUUUGAUCAUUACAGUUCUGUCAACAGUUUAAUAUGAUGUCAAGAAAGACUGACUUCAUUUCAUGUUUUACAAAAACUUCUUUUCAGGAAAUAGUUUUUGAGUUCAAUUUAAAAUGUCAGGACAUACAUUGUUUACGUUACUGUUAGAAAUGCACUUCCAGUAAAGUCAGUAUUGG
Long non-coding RNA from Thalassophryne amazonica, 229 nucleotides. RefSeq lists it as uncharacterized. Lineage: Eukaryota; Metazoa; Chordata; Actinopteri; Batrachoidiformes; Batrachoididae. The transcript has 2 exons. The record is from RefSeq and is a predicted model, not a curated record.